UUCAUGUGACUCCAGCUUCAGAAGACACAAGAUUGAGAUGGAUUGAGUUCAUAUAUGAUGGCAACGUUCCUGCCACCACUUUGAAUCGGACUGUUUUAUCAACCUGGGCCAAUAUAAUGCUGGAUUCUCUAAAAGGUUGUUAUUGAAAGAGGGGUCGGUGCCAUCUUUCCAUCGCAAUACUGAAGACGAGGGAAAUGCAAGCACAUCUGUUCACGGUGCUAGGCUACAUCACGUAGCAUGCCAGACGGACCCACCACAGAUGCGCACACAUGGAACGCAGCUUUCUAUGAAAACACUGCGACCUCACUACAAAAGUACAGGCACACAGAAAACUGUGCUGCACUGAUGUUGGUGUUGGGACCUCAGCUGUAAGAGACCUUGCUUGGAGGAGGGAGAGGACAACCCAAGUUGUUCAAGUAUGGACUUCGGAGAGCCACAGGAUGCUACCUAUGAUCCUGAUGACUCAAUCACAGUCUUGACUGAGUCAGCAGAUGUGACAAUGGAAUCUUCCAACCCUGUUCAUAAGACACCCACAUAUAUUGUCUAUGAAAACUGCCUCCUGGAGCUGUUUGAGGUUUGUCCUGUGUGUCGGCGGGGGACAGAUGUAAUAUAUAAGAAGGGCGAGUGCACAGCAAAGC
Long non-coding RNA from Platichthys flesus (European flounder), 638 nucleotides. RefSeq lists it as uncharacterized. The transcript is spliced from 4 exons. The record is from RefSeq and is a predicted model, not a curated record. NCBI's taxonomy places the organism in Eukaryota, Metazoa, Chordata, Actinopteri, Pleuronectiformes, Pleuronectidae.